GGUUUGAUGCCACGUCGUUGAUAGCUAAAUAGCAGUGACCGAUGGUGCUGUGAUUAAACCAAAAACAAAAAUUUCACUACUUGAUAGGAAUCUGUUCAUCUUAUUCCAUGGGUUUACAGAGCCAUUUUGUGUGAUGAUAGUG
This is a small nucleolar RNA of Cucurbita pepo subsp. pepo (vegetable marrow), 142 nucleotides long. RefSeq annotates it as small nucleolar RNA snoR2/U65. The record is from RefSeq and is a predicted model, not a curated record. Lineage: Eukaryota; Viridiplantae; Streptophyta; Magnoliopsida; Cucurbitales; Cucurbitaceae.